AUGAAUGAUCAGCCAUUAGCAGGUCGGGUGUGAACUGUGAAAAUGGGCUCUCACACCAAUGACUGCAGGAGGCCUUGAUUUGCUUUAGCCUAGCUUAGCAACCUGCUAGCAAGGACCGAGCGGUUGUUAACACUGUGGCAGUGCGUGAGCUAGCGUUAGCCUGCCCAAUGUAAUGCAGUGGAAUACGGACUAGUGUAGCGUGUUGAAGCCCAGUCUAGUGGAGUGCUGUGUGCAAGAUCAUAGUAAGACUCCUUGCUAGCAUAUGCUUGUGUUUAAUGCAGCGACCUGCUUCUGCAUGGAGGUAAAUGAAGCUUUUAAGCAGGGCGGAGGGAAGGGGGACCGCUGAAAAGAUUAAUUGACUUUCUACAGAGCUUCACUUAUCCUCCUCUGGCACCUUUGACUUGCUAUGGUUAUAGCUGCUACCCCAGCAGGACCCCUUCUUGUCAGCCACUAAUGCUGUGACUGACAUCCAUCAACUAUGAGCCACCACAAGAUGGGUAAACAUGAUAGAGGGCAAGAACUGGUUGUGUCCCGGCCAUUUGAAUGACUCCUCAACUGAAAUGAGGGUAACCUGGAUGGCGACGUCAACACAGACCUCAAUUUAGACAAAAUGAAGGAGGACAAGGAUGACACCACCUUCCAGCAGUUGACCUGGCGUGUAUUUACAUUUCUCAGGAGGUGCACAUCAGAAGAAAGGGUUCCGGUUAUGUUGGAUUAUGGCUCUAAAGGGACAACUUCAAGUAAGCAGUGGAAAGAGAGCAAAAGGAUGGACUAUG
Pundamilia nyererei is the source of this 776-nucleotide long non-coding RNA. RefSeq lists it as uncharacterized. NCBI's taxonomy places the organism in Eukaryota, Metazoa, Chordata, Actinopteri, Cichliformes, Cichlidae. The record is from RefSeq and is a predicted model, not a curated record. The transcript is spliced from 4 exons.